Molecule: long non-coding RNA, 1345 nt
Organism: Puntigrus tetrazona (Sumatra barb)
Lineage: Eukaryota; Metazoa; Chordata; Actinopteri; Cypriniformes; Cyprinidae
Exons: 2
Source: RefSeq, a predicted model, not a curated record
GAGAGAGAGAGAGAGAGAGAGAGAGAGAGAGAGAGAGUUAUGCCUGAAGACUUAUAAUAGACCCUACUUUUAAAAGCCAAUCAGAUUCUUCAAAAGGCUGUGUCAUGGUCAGCUCCAUCUCUUCACAAAGAUAAACUAGAAAUGUUUAAGGUCAAAUGUCAGAGGAUCCUUUGAAGAAUACGGGGCCAGGGCUCUCAUUGUGGGGACAUUCACAGCUUCCUGUCUCUCAGAGUACUUCAGAAGUGACCCCAGGGCAGCUCAAACAGGACCGAGUCGUAUCUGAAUGAACGGAGGACACCGGACAUCUCAAACUCAACUCGCCAUUAAAUCACGUUUUUCAAAUCAACAACAUUAUCUGCUUAUUUUUCAUUCUAGGCCAGCCAAUGACUGCGCAUUAACGGGUCCAGCCUAAGGUUUCCAUGGGAACCGGAGCCUCUAACAGGUUUACCAACCAACGAUUGGCUCUUUCCUCAGAAGGCGGGACUUCCUGCCACUUUCUCUAGAGGUUAGGAGAGUAUGACAUAUCGCUUGUGUUUCUAGUCUGGAUCUGAAUGAAGCGAGACUCUCGUAUCUGGAGCUCGUCCGGACCAGUGUCCCUCAACACUCACUCAGGAUCACUUCAUCCUGGUGGAAACCACAAGACGUCUCAGGCUUAAUUUAGAUUCCUGUCCUAAAUCACAAACACAGAUGACAGCAGGAGGAAGGGCCUCAGUCCAGAUCGACAACACAGGAAGUGCAUGCUCAAUCAGGCAGAGACUUCCUGCAGAGAGGACUAAACAGCACUAACAGAGAACAGAUCCACUCUCUAAUCUCAUCAGAGGAAAACUCUGUGAAGAUGACAGGAGACGAGCGAGGAGAACCCUGAGAACAUGAGAAGAACCUGCCUGCCAGAAGAAGACGCAGCGGCCAGUGACUUCAACACAGCUCGGACAUCAUUACACUGCUCUUUACUCACAUUCAUCAAAAAUCAUUUUAAAAUGAAGGAAAAUAAAAUAUGUUUUACGUUUUGUGCACCUGCAUGUCGUGAUCAUUAACCAGUGUCAGAAAAUGAUGACCAGGCAGAUGUGAUCAGUAAAAGAUGAAGAGAGGAAUUAGGAAGUGUGAAAAGGUGUAAUAUGUCAUUUAUUUGAAUUAGUGCUUAAUUUAAUGAAUCUGAUUAGUUAAUCCUGAUUCUAUUUAAUCACCCAUCUCUGUGUAUCAAUCUCCAUGUAAACAUGUGUGUCUCACGCUCCCUCUGUAUACUGCAGUCCCGCCCUUAAAGUCACACACAGAACCAUCAUAAGCCUCGUAUAAAACACACAGAGAGUCGUUUAUGCGCAGAGAGCUGAAGCCUGCAAUAAUCACC